Molecule: non-coding RNA, 892 nt
Organism: Cajanus cajan (pigeon pea)
Lineage: Eukaryota; Viridiplantae; Streptophyta; Magnoliopsida; Fabales; Fabaceae
Source: RefSeq, a predicted model, not a curated record
CAUUGCAGAAGCUUGCAGAAAUUCACGGUAAUUCUUUAUUUGCAAUUGAUGAAGUACAUUGUGUUUCUAAAUGGGGUCAUGAUUUCCAUCCAGACUAUAGGUCUGUUUUUUAACCCCAGUGUAUCCUUACUGUUUAUGGCUUAUGGAGAUGAACUGGCUUGAUGAGUUUACUUAGAACAUCUUAAAUUGCAUAUUGAAGAAAGAUAGAUCAGUUAUUGGUUAAUUUGAUUGGUGAUCAUGCACAUUUCAUUUGUUCUUUGUUUGGUGCACACUUCACGUAUUAUUUAAUGUUUUUAGUCUAUUGUGAAUGUCAUAAAUAUGACCUGUUUUAAAAUGUUUGUUUUUGUUUCAGCCGACUGUCUGUGCUGAGGGAAAAUUUUAUUGCUAGUAAGCUAAAAUCCCUGUAAUUUGAGAGAUCAACAGAAACAAAUGUUGUUCUUACAUCAUUUUUUCGAUCUAAUUUAUGCUUCAUGGUAAAGGAUUAUCGAACAUCAAAGGCUUCUUAUGGAAAAGAUUUUUGUGAAUUGAUUAAAGUAUGUGGCAGAAAGGCAAAAUAUUGAUGGAAAUGGAAAGGCUUUCAUCUCAGAUGAUUCAGAUUAUGUUAUUAUAUAAUCAUUGAUUAUUCCUCUCUCUGAUGUCGCAAAUUCUUCUUUCUCACUUCAUUCACCUUCCUGAUUCUUCGCAGGUCAACAACGGCGUUGCUGCUUCAGAGUAACUAUGCUGCCAGCCAAUAAUUCCAACAAAUAGAGAAAUAUGUUCAUUUUUUGUAAUAAUUUUGUUCAUGCUGGUUUUGGCUUAAAGGUGGAUGAUGGCAUUUACUUACGACUCAUUUGUUUUAUGUGAUGAAUUAUGUCUUUUUCUAUUUAAUUUGAUUUGAUUUUGUCUGAUGGUA